Molecule: ribosomal RNA, 465 nt
Filed under: Vreelandella stevensii
Lineage: Bacteria; Pseudomonadati; Pseudomonadota; Gammaproteobacteria; Oceanospirillales; Halomonadaceae
Description: partial 16S ribosomal RNA
Rfam family: Bacterial small subunit ribosomal RNA
Source: RNAcentral
CCUACGGGAGGCAGCAGUGGGGAAUAUUGGACAAUGGGGGCAACCCUGAUCCAGCCAUGCCGCGUGUGUGAAGAAGGCCAUCGGGUUGUAAAGCACUUUCAGUGAGGAAGAACGCCUGGUGGUUAAUACCCAUCAGGAAAGACAUCACUCACAGAAGAAGCACCGGCUAACUCCGUGCCAGCAGCCGCGGUAAUACGGAGGGUGCGAGCGUUAAUCGGAAUUACUGGGCGUAAAGCGCGCGUAGGUGGCUUGAUAAGCCGGUUGUGAAAGCCCCGGGCUCAACCUGGGAACGGCAUCCGGAACUGUCAAGCUAGAGUGCAGGAGAGGAAGGUAGAAUUCCCGGUGUAGCGGUGAAAUGCGUAGAGAUCGGGAGGAAUACCAGUGGCGAAGGCGGCCUUCUGGACUGACACUGACACUGAGGUGCGAAAGCGUGGGUAGCAAACAGGAUUAGAUACCCGUGUAGUC